ACUCCGACUCUCUCACACUUGGCCACCAUGACAAAAGCAAUGUCUUCCUUUAUCAUUAUUAUGACACUUUUUCAAACUCUUUCUGCAUCCAUGGCCACUGUCACAAAUAUCCCCAAGCUACCUCACUACUCUGUCCUCAAGCUCAUCCGACCCCUAGCUGCCGAUCGAGAUGCUUCCAAUGGAGAUUUGGAUGUCAAGCCUAAUAAGCAAGGACUCGUCCGUACAGGACACGUGGAGUUGGCGCGCGUAGCUCACGUGCCCAUCACGUGAAGCUGAAGCAUGCUUUGCUCACGUCAUCUAUCUGCACAUAUCAAGUGGAGUUAAGGUCGACACAUGUAGCUCAUGUCAUUGUUCCUUCGUACAAGAUGUGUGGUAGGCCAAGACUAAGUUACGAUGAGCAUGAUGUGUAGAAGGUGGAACUCGUGGUUGAGAUGAGCUGGGCUAACGAUGGAGCUUGCGGACGAGCUGAGGUGGAGCUCGUGGAUGAGUUGAGCUGGGCUGACCAUGGAGCUUGUGGACAUAGGCGGAUUCACCGCCCAGCAAGGCUGGGCACUUGCUCGAGCUUCGCAAAGAAUUUUUUUGUUUCUGUUGAGAGAAAACGAAAAUAAUGGAGGGUAAAACCGAAAAAGAAAGGGCAAAAUCAAGCUUCAACGUGCUUCUCUCUCUGCUCGAGCUCGAACCACGCCGCCACUCUCUUCUCUGUUCGACCCUUAUUUUCAAUUUCUACAAUUUCAGGUGAUUGUUUUCAAUUUCAGGUUUUUGGCACAAACAAGUCCCUAUGGUUGCUUCCAAUGUUUGCAGAAGAGGAUUUAGACAACAUACCUGCACUAAGGGGCAUUGAGUUCCCAAUACGUUCAGACGUUGAUGUAUGAAGAUCUGGGAGCUUGUGAGUUAUAGGUUUGAACUUCUUAGAAUUGAGUUUUGGGCCUAACUCAUCCUCACAAAACCAGCUUGUAAGGUGAUGAUUGCCUCUUCUUUAUAAAUACUUAUUCAGGCCUUAUCGCAAGGGAUGUGGAACUUCUUUAACACACCCCCUCGCGCUCAGCACUGUUGGGCUUAUUGCGCGGAUAUAAAUGGUGGAGGGCCCGAUCAGAAACCUGAUUACAGGCGGCCCGAUGAAGUGGCCCAGCGAAUCGUGGAUAGACUCUGAUACAUCUUAGAAUUGAGUUUUGGGCCUAACUCAUCCUCACAAAACCGGCUUGUAAGGUGAGGAUUGCCUCUUCUUUAUAAAUACUUAUUCAGGCGUUAUCGCAAGCGAUGUGGAACUUCUUUAACAGAACUUACGAUUUUUUUAGAGAAAAAAUAUACCAUUUUCUUCUUACUUAAUACUGGUUCAACAUAGGGCAUGAAAUUACUGCAUUGUGCUUGGUCAUAUAUAUUAUAUGUUUGCAAUGAAAGAAGGGUAUGGUAGAUUCAUGUGUGUAUGUAAUCUUAUAUUUGAUUUGUAUUGAUUAUUCUUAUAUUCAGUUUAAAGAAUCUUCCAUCUGAAGGGGAUAUAAAGUAGAUUUGCUUUUGCAUGUGGAAUUAAUUGAUCAGAGUGGAACCUUUCACUUUUACUAGUCAAUAAUACAUUAUUAAUUUGA
Trifolium pratense (red clover) is the source of this 1583-nucleotide long non-coding RNA. RefSeq lists it as uncharacterized. The record is from RefSeq and is a predicted model, not a curated record. Lineage: Eukaryota; Viridiplantae; Streptophyta; Magnoliopsida; Fabales; Fabaceae. The transcript has 3 exons.